CGCCCUUAGAGUUUGAUCAUGGCUCAGGACGAACGCUGGCGGCGUGCCUAAUACAUGCAAGUCGAACGCAGCUUGCUUUGGUAAGAUGAGUGGCGAACGGGUGAGUAACACGUGGGUAACCUGCCUAUCAGAGGGGGAUAACACUUGGAAACAGGUGCUAAUACCGCAUAGAUUUCUUCCGCAUGAAAAGAGAGGAAAGACGUACGUGUCACUGAUAGAUGGACCCGCGGUGCAUUAGCUAGUUGGUGAGGUAACGGCUCACCAAGGCCAUGAUGCAUAGCCGACCUGAGAGGGUGAUCGGCCACACUGGGACUGAGACACGGCCCAGACUCCUACGGGAGGCAGCAGUAGGGAAUCUUCGGCAAUGGACGAAAGUCUGACCGAGCAACGCCGCGUGAGUGAAGAAGGUUUUCGGAUCGUAAAACUCUGUUGUUAGAGAAGAAUAGGUAGGAGUGACUUCCUGCCAUGACGGUAUCUAACCAGAAAGCCACGGCUAACUACGUGCCAGCAGCCGCGGUAAUACGUAUGUGGCAAGCGUUGUCCGGAUUUAUUGGGCGUAAAGCGAGCGCAGGCGUUUCUUAAGUCUGAUGUGAAAGCCCCCGGCUUAACCGGGGAGGGUCAUUGGAAACUGGGAGAC
RNAcentral lists this ribosomal RNA (637 nucleotides) under uncultured Vagococcus sp. Its description in RNAcentral is "bacterial SSU rRNA". It matches the Rfam family "Bacterial small subunit ribosomal RNA", at positions 1 to 641 of the family's 1533-position model. Lineage: Bacteria; Bacillati; Bacillota; Bacilli; Lactobacillales; Enterococcaceae. The record is from RNAcentral.